Equus caballus (horse) is the source of this 2120-nucleotide long non-coding RNA. NCBI's taxonomy places the organism in Eukaryota, Metazoa, Chordata, Mammalia, Perissodactyla, Equidae. The record is from Ensembl.
AUCUCUCUCUUGCUGGCAUGUGAGGACGCAGGGAGAAGGCAGCAGUCUGCAAGACAGGAAGAGAGUUCUCACCAGAACCCAACCAUGCUGGCACCCUGAUGUCGGACUUCCAGUCUCCAGAACUAAAUGUAGCAUUCUAUUGGCUGGAACUUUCACCCAUAAACAGGGCCACUAUAUAUGGAAAAAGAAGAAGAAAACUAAUUAAUAACUAUUUAUUAAUGAGUCAAAAGGUAAACCUGAUAAUACGAAGUACCAUAUCUCAUGCCCAGCAUCAGUUAAAGCUCUUGGGGACAGCUGAGUUUAUUCUGAGGUCUUUUAUAUCUUCCUCAGUCUUGACCUGUGCUAUGGUCCGAAUGUUUGUGUCCUCCCCUAAUAUUCAUAUGCUGAAAUCCUAAAGACCAAUGAAAUGGUAUUAGGAGGUGGGGAUUUGGGGAGGUGCUUAGGUCAUGAGGGCCCACCCUCAUGACUGGGAUCAGUGUUCUUGUAAAAAGAGAGCCCACAGAGAUCCUCUGUCCCUUCUACCAUGUAAGGAUACAGUGAGAAGGUACCAGCCACGAACCAGGAAGAGGGCUCUCACCAGAACACAACCAUGCUGGCACGCUGAUCUCAGGCUUCCCAGCCUCCAGAACCAUGAGAGAUAAAUUUCCGUCAUUUAUAAGCCACCCAGUCUAUGAUAUUUUGUUAUAGCAGCCCAAACAGACUAAGACAACCUUCUAUGCCAUUGCAUCAAAGCUCACCACACUGCUUCCUAUGACUGAAUAUUACUCGGUAAUGCCUGCGACCUUCAUUUUUAAAGUCAAUUCGGAAGAAAGAUAUCUUAUGAAAGAAGCUCAAAGACAAAAGACUACCAAUAUUUUGGAGGAAAAUAAAGGGUCUUGAAGGAAUAAUGAACAAUAAGUCUUUUCCACCACAUAAUAAUUUUCGGGAAAUGAUAAAGAGAGUAAAUAUUCAGUCAUAUGUAUCAUCCCUUGUCUCGGCUGGGCACCCAUUAUUUUGCUUCAACUAGGCACUGGGGAUACAGUGAGGAGUAAAUCGGUCAUGGGCCCACCAUUGGUUUAUAGUCUAGUGGGAGAGUUUUCUCUGGUUGGUGGAAGAAGAUAAAGUUAAAGAGUUUGAAGCAUGAGAAGGAUUCAAAGCUGCUGGCUUGAAGAAGGAGGGAGCCAUGUGUCAAGAAAACAGAGACCUCUGUCCUACAACUUCAAGGACUGAAAUCUGCCAACAACCAGAGAGAGGUUGGAAGCUGAUUUGUGUCCUAGAGCCUCCAGAUGAGAACUAAGCCUGGCUAACACCUUGAUUUCAGGCUUGUGAUGUUGAGCAGAAAGCUAGCCAUAUCUUGCAGAAUUCUCACCUACAGAACUGUGAUCUAAUAAAUGGGUGUUUAUUUUAAGCCUCCAUGUUUAUGGUAAUGUUUUAUGCAGCAGUAAAAUCUAAUAGUUUAUCUCUGCUCCCCAUGGCACGCUGAAGUGGAUAGAUUUGGAACUGGAGGAUCUACUUCCAAGAUGACUCACUUGCACGGCUGGCAAAUUGGUGCUGGUUGCACGUGCUGUCAGUCUCUUAGAUAGUGUUGAGGGUUGGGGGCAUCAGUCCUUCUACAUCCUUUCCCUACAGCAGGUGGUUAGGUUCCAAGAGCCAUCGUCCCAAGAGAACAGGAGAAAGUGAAUGGCAACUUUAUGAUCUGGGAAAUUAUAUAACAUCAUUUUCACCAUAUUCUGUUGGUGGAUAUAGUCACAAAAGUCUGCUCAGGUUCAAGUGGAAGGGGCAUAAUCCUUACCACUCAAUCAGAAUGGUUUCAACGUCUCAUUAUAAGAAGUACAGAUGGGAUGGGAUAUUUUGUGACAGUGAUAUUUGAAACAUACAGUUACAUGGUGAUUUAAUGACUCAUUCCUGUCUCAAUACUAAUUUUGUUUGUUAAAAUGUUAACAUUUGAAGGAAAAGUUGGAAGUAAUGACAGUGAAAAGGAAAGCAUUAUUACACUCCAGUGGUAGGUUAGGGAUGUGAAUGGGUUUGGAUAUAGAAUACACAUGCAGAUAGUAAGUCCCAUAAUGACAAACGUCAAGAACAUUUGUUAACUUUAACAUUAACUAAAAUUUCUAAAAAAUAUCCAAGAUGUUGAAUAUGGG